AUGUAUUUUGGAGCUGAGUAAAAGAGGCUUGGGGUGCAUGGUAUAUGUAAGAAUAAUUUAAGCUUGUCAUGUUAUGGAUAAGAGACAUUCUCAUCAAUCCCGUUCCUUCUUCUAUGAUGGAAUAGAUGACUGAAAUUGACUGCAGUGUCGGAGUAAUGGGAGCAACUCCAAGAGGCUCCUCCAGCAAGCACUGCUGCAUCUGGAGGUGCCAUUAGUGAUUCUCUGAAACAACAAAGGCUUGACUCAGUGGUGACUGGAAGCCUCCAACCAGAUUUCUGACCUUACCUGGGAAAUGUAUGGAUUUUUUUCCCCAAAUGAUGCACAAAGGGAAAGAUCUGUGCUGCUGGACUGCAAUUCAUCUAAAAGAGAAGGAAAUAACUCUCUAGUGGAUAUGAACUGUGAAGAAGAAUGA
RNAcentral lists this long non-coding RNA (412 nucleotides) under Chinchilla lanigera (long-tailed chinchilla). RNAcentral describes it as "lncRNA (ENSCLAG00000028952.1)". The record is from RNAcentral. Lineage: Eukaryota; Metazoa; Chordata; Mammalia; Rodentia; Chinchillidae.